Long non-coding RNA from Phyllostomus hastatus (greater spear-nosed bat), 1992 nucleotides. RefSeq lists it as uncharacterized. NCBI's taxonomy places the organism in Eukaryota, Metazoa, Chordata, Mammalia, Chiroptera, Phyllostomidae. The transcript has 4 exons. The record is from RefSeq and is a predicted model, not a curated record.
AGAUGUCUCCUGCAGAAGCCAACCACCCAGAGGCUCACCUGCACCCUGCUCUGUGUCUCAGCAAAUAAAACCGACCGGACUGGGAGCAGCGGCUCAGGCGCUUGAGCUUCAAGGACAGCUCAUCAUCAGCUGCUGAACUCACCUAACAACGAACGUCUCUGGCGUCCGGCUUGGUGCCAACGCUACCUGAAAGGACUCAUUUACUUCUAAAAGAAGCUGAAGUAGCUCUGGAAGGCCCGUCGGAGCUCAAAGGGGAAAAGCAAGCAGAUUUGGAACCGAGGAAAACCAAACAGCCGCGGAGCGUGGUUCGUGCCAGGGCCUGCAGAGAGCAGGCCCGCGGCUCUGGGAGGCGACUUCCGACCAAGGCUCGGCGGGCGGGACGAAGGGCGAGCCGCGGGAGCUAAGCAGUGCGGUCAGACCCUUUCCCACGUCAGCAGGAGGCUGCCAGGUGGAGCAGAAUCUCUCCUCGGGGGCAGAGCUUCCUCGGUGGGCAAAGGCAAUCCGGCCAGGACAAAAGCAGACAAAGCAAGCCACGAGGGGCAGGAUUUGCUGGACUCUGCCCAACGCACUCCCUACACCGAGUACUCGGUGCAUGUUGCCUGGACGAAGGCGGGGAGGACGGAGAAAUGACUCCCAGUCAGGCGAUCACACGCAAGCCACCAGAGGAGGUCCUCGGGGCCUACUUGUCCCCACGGAAGGGGCGUCUCUCCGCAGCUUCCUCCAUCAGAGGCCUCUACCUGCGCCACGAGCACUGUCAGGAAAGAGAACUGGCGAAUUCUCGAGAUCGCCCAUUCUUCUCCUGCUUCUUCUUUUCAUUCGGAUGAGGAAUACAGCCAUGGGGACACAUGUUUUUAAUUGUAAAGAUGCUGAUACAGCCACGCAGGCAGGUUGGACCCGAGAGGAAGCGGAUAUUCGGUCUCUACCCACCCCCCCCAGGUUCCUGACUCAGAGCUCCGAAACCCGCCGGGACUCCCUGGGCAGGGAAAGAGCGCAGCCGGCCAUUCUUGCGGAGCGGCCCCUGCAGGACCAAUUCCCCGAGUUUUCCUGCAUCCGAGCGCGUCCCGAUAUCCCCUUCGUGUCCUCAGAAAGGAGCUGCAGCUGCCGCGGGACCGGGCAGCAGCUGCACUGCGGGGCAUGAGUGCCCAGAAGCGAGGACUUCUGGUCCCCAAAACACCUGGGCGUGAACGCGGACAGCAGCUCCAGUCGCACGAGCCUCAAGCUGCAAGCGCCGCGUGUCGCGCCGUGUCCCAGGUUCCACACCGGACGGGGCCUUUCAGUUCGUGGCUUCCACGUCCUCCCCGCCGAAAAAUGUCACGUUGGAGGGUCCUCAAUGGCUGUGACGCGUAGUCCAGAGCGUGAAAGGAUGACAACUCUGAAGCCAGACCACGUGGGGCAGGUCCCACGACGAGGCAGCUGAAGGCCUGGGACACCGGCCUGACUUCCCCGCGUGGUUAUUUCCUCACCUGCAACAACCGGGAUCACGAGGCACCUACCUGCAAAGCCCUGGGCGAGGCUGCUGGCACGCGGUUCGCUCCCAGCCCGGACACCUGGUUCUGCCCCCGCCCCCGCCCCCGCCCGGUACGUGGCCUCAUACACGCUUGCCGAAUGAAUGGGUGUGGGAAUAAAUGAAUUGUUAAGACUCUGAAAUAUUUUCCCCGCAGCUGGGUAAGUCACUGGCUUUCCGCUGUCCCUGUCCCUGCGAACCAACCCAGGUAGGGCUGAACGCGACCAUUAGAACGGAGUGCCCUGCGCACCGCGGGAUCCAGGGCUUGUGUUUCUGACAAAUGGGGCACUUACUUUAAACGUGUUAUAAAACGUCACCAUGGGCCCUGCUGGUAAACCCUGAGAGUGUCCCCCUAGGGGGCGCCCCUGAGCUGGGGGUCGGAGGGGGCGCCAUGAGUCUGACCCCUCCUCCCCAACAUCCUCCGCCACCCCACCCCCACCCGCCACCUCCUGCUCCAAAGCGCCGGAACACACACAUCCGAGUGCGCA